GUGGGGAAUAUUGGACAAUGGGCGAAAGCCUGAUCCAGCCAUGCCGCGUGUGUGAAGAAGGUCUUCGGAUUGUAAAGCACUUUAAGUUGGGAGGAAGGGCAGUAAGUUAAUACCUUGCUGUUUUGACGUUACCGACAGAAUAAGCACCGGCUAACUUCGUGCCAGCAGCCGCGGUAAUACGAAGGGUGCAAGCGUUAAUCGGAAUUACUGGGCGUAAAGCGCGCGUAGGUGGUUUUGUAAGUUGGAGGUGAAAUCCCCGGGCUCAACCUAGGAACUGCCUCCAAAACUGCAUGACUAGAGUACGGUAGAGGGUAGUGGAAUUUCCUGUGUAGCGGUGAAAUGCGUAGAUAUAGGAAGGAACACCAGUGGCGAAGGCGACUACCUGGACUGAUACUGACACUGAGGUGCGAAAGCGUGGGGAGCAAACAGGAUUAGAUACCCGGGUAGUCC
RNAcentral lists this ribosomal RNA (450 nucleotides) under uncultured bacterium. RNAcentral's name for it is "bacterial SSU rRNA". It matches the Rfam family "Bacterial small subunit ribosomal RNA", at positions 354 to 796 of the family's 1533-position model. The record is from RNAcentral.